Molecule: ribosomal RNA, 482 nt
Filed under: uncultured bacterium
Lineage: Bacteria
Description: partial 16S ribosomal RNA
Rfam family: Bacterial small subunit ribosomal RNA
Source: RNAcentral
AUUGAACGCUGGCGGCAUGCUUUACACAUGCAAGUCGAACGGUAACAGGCCGCAAGGUGCUGACGAGUGGCGAACGGGUGAGUAAUGCAUCGGAACGUGCCCAGUCGUGGGGGAUAACUACUCGAAAGAGUAGCUAAUACCGCAUACGAUCUAUGGAUGAAAGCGGGGGACCGAAAGGCCUCGCGCGAUUGGAGCGGCCGAUGUCAGAUUAGGUAGUUGGUGGGGUAAAGGCUCACCAAGCCAACGAUCUGUAGCUGGUCUGAGAGGACGACCAGCCACACUGGGACUGAGACACGGCCCAGACUCCUACGGGAGGCAGCAGUGGGGAAUUUUGGACAAUGGGCGCAAGCCUGAUCCAGCAAUGCCGCGUGCAGGAAGAAGGCCUUCGGGUUGUAAACUGCUUUUGUACGGAACGAAACGGCUCUGGUUAAUACCCGGGGCUAAUGACGGUACCGUAAGAAUAAGCACCGGCUAACUACGUG